AGUAAUGUAACAGGUGGGUUAGAAUCUGAUCCUCAAUCUGAUCUUAGUCCUGACUCGGGGAAGAACAGGUGUGUUACUGUCAUACAGCCUCCAUUUUGACUGAGACACAGAGGAGACCUGAACACUUGACAGACAGCAGACUGACAUGACACACAACUACAAUCAGUACACAAGAACCUCUGCUCUCUUCCUCCCCCUCCUCUCUUCCUGUCUGCUAUGGGGGGCUCCUCCUCUAAGAAGACUGUAUUCGGGGGGAGAAAGAAGAAACGGGACUCAGUGUUGACCUGGAGUGAACUGAAGGGGGCACUAUCCAGUAAGAAACAGAAGAGAAGCAUCAUUCUUCCUACUCUGGACAAACUGUCAGUGGAUAACCUGAAGAGGGAGGUCCUUACUCCCAAUAGUACGUUUUCAGUGGCCGGGAAGAGGAAGGAGUCGCUGUCAAUCAAGAGGCUGUCAUUGGGUAACUCUAGGAAGGAGUCCGUGUCACCGAAGAGUCUCUCUCUGGGUAAGAGGAAGAAAGGAGAACAGAAGAUAUUCUCUCUGCUUAACACCAAGAAGGAAUCACCUCCACAAUCCAAAAAUAUAUUCUCUCUGGUUAACACCAAGAAGGAAUCACCACCACAAUCCAAAAAUAUAUUCUCUCUGGUUAACACCAAGAAGGAAUCUCCACCACCAGCCAAAAAUAUAUUCUCUCUGGUUAAUACCAAGAAGGAAUCUCCACCACCAGCCAAAAAUAUAUUCUCUCUGGUUAAUAUCAAGAAGGAAUCACCUCCCAAAGAGAGAUUAUCCCUGGCAAAUGUUAACCCCUUACUUUAAACCUGACCUAGGCCCAGGACAGAGAGACAGAUGGAUGGAUGGACAGGCAGUCAGACAGGACAGACAGAGAAAAUCAGAUGGACAGGCAGAGACAGAGACACAGGUGGACAGACAGACGGACAGAGUCGGCCGUCAUUGUAAAUAAGAAUUUGUUCUUCACUGACUUGCCUAGUUACAAAAUGUAAAGAAGGACAGACACAGAGAGUGUUUAGCUUCUAGUUUGUGUCCUUAUUCUCAUUCCUUGCAGCAUCAUAAAAGACAGACAUGAUCAAGCGAUGGCCGCACCCAGCGGCACGAUGACGCCAGGCAUAACCAAGCGAUCAGGCAGACAGACACAGAUUAGGAAUGUUUUCAUUUUUCUGGCUUUAUUUUCAGAGAGGUUUUGGUACAAAAAUAAAAAUCAGUAACAGAUUUUUAAAUGAAAGAGAAAAAACUGUUUCUCUAAAAUGUAGUAUUUUUUUGAAUUUUGGGGGGGAAAUUAUUUUUUAUGGGGAAAAAUAUGUUUUCAUAUGUGCUUAUGAUAAUAAUGCAUAUUAUCAGGCAUAUCUAAAUAUUUAGAAUAUUCAUAACCAGCAUUUCCCUUUUAUAGUUUCUCAGAAACAUUUUCCCUUUUCAGAGACGAUUUCAGCCAGUAAUGGUGAGAAUAAUCUCUCCUUUCUACUUAAAGGUGCACUCGUUCACUACAGUCAGAGAGAGACAGAUGGACAUACAGUCAGAGACUGGUGGACAUACAGUCAGAGAGAGAGACUGGUGGACUGCAGUCAGAGAGAGAGAGACAGGUGGACUGAGUCAGAGAGAGAGAGACAGGUGGACUGAGUCAGAGAGAGAGACAGGUGGACUGAGUCAGAGAGAGAGAGACAGGUGGACUGAGUCAGAGAGAGAGAGACAGGUGGACUGAGUCAGAGAGAGAGAGACAGGUGGACUGAGUCAGAGAGAGAGACAGGUGGACUGAGUCAGAGAGAGAGACAGGUGGACUGAGUCAGAGAGAGAGACAGGUGGACAGACAGUCAGAAGUGUUGUAGGUUCUCUUUAACAGAAGCGGUUUCCAUCAUUUCUGAACAUGAAAGUGAUUGUGAGGUCACAGCAACAACCAGAACACAUCAGUCUACAAUACAGACUGGUCUAUAGUCUAUUCAUUCAUUCUCUAGACAGCUAAACAACUGGCUCUGACACCAGCUUGAAAUACACUUCUUCAUGUUACCAUACUAUAACUUGAUUGAUGACUUUACAAGGAAUCUAUAUGUUAGGGGUCAAGGAAGGGUCAAGAGGAAGUGAAGGUUACUGUGAGAGAAAUGAGUAAGGUGAACAGGAGGUCACUGAUACACAUGGAGAAGAAGUCACCGGAUAAAAGAGGAACUGCUGUCAGACGGCUCGAACGCCAAGACAAUGAGGCAACAUCGAGGCAGUAUUGGGCAACAGAUGGCAGCUCUGAGAAGGUACAACCUGAUCUCCUCUUGACAUAUAAAGGCCUGUUUGAUCAUGUGUAAAAUGUGCUUGCAGCUGAGGUAUCCAGUGGGGUGAAUAAACAUGGUUUGAGUUUU
Molecule: long non-coding RNA, 2357 nt
Organism: Salmo salar (Atlantic salmon)
Lineage: Eukaryota; Metazoa; Chordata; Actinopteri; Salmoniformes; Salmonidae
Source: RefSeq, a predicted model, not a curated record